RNAcentral lists this transfer RNA (56 nucleotides) under Harpactocrates apennicola. RNAcentral describes it as "tRNA-Lys". The record is from RNAcentral. Lineage: Eukaryota; Metazoa; Arthropoda; Arachnida; Araneae; Dysderidae.
UUUUAAGUGGCCGAGUUAGGUGUUAGUUUCUUAAAUUAAGUACGAAGUUAUAAAGU